UUUUGUCGACGGUGCGUGUCGGACUUCACUGGCCGGUGCGCUCUCUGUCGGCGAYGUUACUUUGAGGAAAUCAGAGUGCUCAAAGCAAGCGUUCGCUCGUGACUUCACUAGCAUGGAAUAACACAGAUGGGCUCUUUUUCGCAACGUUGGUCUGCGUCAACUGAGCAACGAUCGAUAGAGACGGUCGGGGGCAUUCGUAUUGCGCAGUUAGAGGUGAAAUUCUCCGAUCUGCGCAAGACGCACUAAUGCGAAAGCAGUUGCCAAGGACGUUCUCUUAUGAUCAAGAGCGAAAGUCGGGGGAUCAAAGAUGAUUAGAUACCGUCGUAGUCCCGACCAUAAAUGAUGCCAACUGAGCGUCGGCGACGCGGCUGUCAGCCGGACGUCGGCGCUCUUGAGAGAAAUUAAAGUCUUUGGGCUCCGGGGGUAGUAUGGUCGCAAGUCUGAAACUUGAAGGAAUUGACGGAAGGGCACCACAAGGCGUGGAUGUUGCGGCUUAAUUUGACUCAACACGGGAAAGCUUACUAGGUUUGGACACUUGAAUGAGGGACAUAUUGAAGCUCUUACCUUUUUUUGUGGAUGGUGGUGCAUGGUCGUUCUCAGCCCGUGGGUUGACCUGUCAGGUUUACUCCGGUAACGCGCGAGACCUCGGUUUGCUAAAUAGACACGGCUGUUUCGGCACCCGUGAUCUUCUUAGAGAGAGUCUUGACGAGAGUUGAGGGAAGUCGAGGCAAUAACAGAUCUGUGAUGCCCUUAGUUAUCGUAGGUCGCACGCGCCAUACAAUGUGGCGCACAACGAGUCUCCUAGGCCGACAGGAAUUCUCGUCGACGGCAGAUGCAUUGGUCCCGUGGGUUGGUGCAUCUACUUUUCGAAGUGGAUCGCCGACGCGCGGUCGAUCUCGCGACGCUGUCGCGAGAACUUCUGGGCAAUCUUGCAGAGCGCUACGUGACUGGGCUAGACUUUUGUAAUUGUUGGUCUUGAACGAGGAAUGCCUAGUAAUCGCAGGUCAUUAUCCUGAGAUGAUUCGGUCCCUGCCCUUUGUACACACC
This 1047-nucleotide ribosomal RNA is filed under the name Rhipidosiphon glaucescens. RNAcentral describes it as "bacterial SSU rRNA". The record is from RNAcentral. Lineage: Eukaryota; Viridiplantae; Chlorophyta; Ulvophyceae; Bryopsidales.